GUGCCAGACUCCUACGGGAGGCAGCAGUGGGGGAUAUUGCACAAUGGGGGAAACCCUGAUGCAGCGACGCCGCGUGUGGGAAGACGGUCCUCUGGAUUGUAAACCACUGUCCCCAGGGACGAAAAUGACGGUACCUGGGGAGGAAGCUCCGGCUAACUACGUGCCAGCAGCCGCGGUAAUACGUAGGGAGCGAGCGUUGUCCGGAAUUACUGGGUGUAAAGGGCGUGUAGCCGGGCCGGCAAGUCAGAUGUGAAAUCCCAAGGCUCAACCUUGGAACUGCAUUUGAAACUGUUGGUCUUGAGUAUCGGAGAGGCAGGCGGAAUUCCUAGUGUAGCGGUGAAAUGCGUAGAUAUUAGGAGGAACACCAGUGGCGAAGGCGGCCUGCUGGACGACAACUGACGGUGAGGCGCGAAAGCGUGGGGAGCAAACAGGAUUAGAUACCCGGGUA
Molecule: ribosomal RNA, 448 nt
Filed under: uncultured bacterium
Lineage: Bacteria
Description: bacterial SSU rRNA
Rfam family: Bacterial small subunit ribosomal RNA
Source: RNAcentral